UUGAACGCUGGCGGCAGGCCUAACACAUGCAAGUCGAGCGGAUGAAGGGAGCUUGCUCCUGGAUUCAGCGGCGGACGGGUGAGUAAUGCCUAGGAAUCUGCCUGGUAGUGGGGGAUAACGUCCGGAAACGGGCGCUAAUACCGCCUACGUCCUGAGGGAGAAAGUGGGGGAUCUUCGGACCUCACGCUAUCAGAUGAGCCUAGGUCGGAUUAGCUAGUUGGUGGGGUAAAGGCCUACCAAGGCGACGAUCCGUAACUGGUCUGAGAGGAUGAUCAGUCACACUGGAACUGAGACACGGCCCAGACUCCUACGGGAGGCAGCAGUGGGGAAUUUUGGACAAUGGGGGAAAGCCUGAUCCAGCCAUGCCGCGUGUGUGAAGAAGGUCUUCGGAUUGUAAAGCACUUUAAGUUGGGAGGAAGGGCAAUAAGUUAAUACCUUGCUGUUUUGACGUUACCAACAGAAUAAGCACCGGCUAACUUCGUG
This 483-nucleotide ribosomal RNA is filed under the name uncultured bacterium. RNAcentral describes it as "partial 16S ribosomal RNA". It matches the Rfam family "Bacterial small subunit ribosomal RNA", at positions 30 to 507 of the family's 1533-position model. The record is from RNAcentral.